UAGCUGCCUAGGGCUAGCUAGCUGGCUAGGGUUAGGAAAACUCUAACAUUUUCGUACAGUAUUGAUUUUCGCUUGAUCGAGCGACCAGGGUAUCUGACUGCGAUGCGCGCCUCCUUGGCCGGGCCGGCCAGCCGGGCUGGUCGACUCGCGGCUCUAGCUAGCUACUAGACUGGACGCCAAACGGUGUCGUGAAUGCAUGCACAUUUUUGCAGGAUCGACAUGAUUGCUGUCGACGUCGAUGUCGAGGCAGCUUACUCGACGAGCUGGACGAAGGCUGUAACAAACCUGUGCAGCAUUUGAUCGUGAGGCUGUUUGAACAACCACAUACAUGUACUUAGACCAGCACUUAGACCAGCUUAGCAUCAGGAUGCAUGUCAAUGUGAAGAGGCUGUGAAACCUCUCCAAAUGCAGGUAACAAACCUGUGCAGUAUUUGAUCGUGAGGCUGUUUGAACAACCACAUACUUAGACCAGCACUUAGACCAGCUUAGCAUCAGGAUGCAUGUCAAUGUGAAGAGGCUGUGAAACCUCUCCAAAUGCAGGUACCAUACCUGUGCAGCAUUUGAUCGAGAGGCAGUUUGAACAACCACAUACUAGACCAGCACUUAGACCAGCACUUAGACCAGCUUAGCAUCAGGAUGCAUGUCACUGUGAAGAGGCUGUGAAACAUCCUUAAAUGUUGGGUAUCGAUGGAUAUAGGGUUAACCACACAGUUUAUCACCCCAAUGCGUCAGAGAAAGGACAUCAAUACUGAAGUGGGUAUGCAAAUGGAUUCUAUCUAUUCAAAACCAUGAAAGAACCUGCUAUGGCACAACCAGUAAUGAUGUUUCCCUCAAGCGGAAAGCAGUAGAGUGGACUUUCGUUUGAUUAGUCGCCACUAGCACCACAGAAUUCAUGUACAUUACAGCAGGGGUGUGCAUGAUCCUAACAGACAGCCAUUACCAACAUAAUCAAGGCCAUAUUGAAUGUUAUUGAAAUGUAUGUUUUCCAUAAGUUUCAGUAAAUGGAAAGCAUUGUCACUUUUUGUUUAAAUUCCUAUUGCUUAAAGAGGUAGUUCAGUUUUGGUAAAGUGGGUGCUACACAAAAUAAUUUGUUUGUGAGAUAAUGAAAAUCAAGUGUUAAAUUUGAAAUUUAGAAACAGCUGAAAUAUCAAUAAAUAUAUCCAGUCAGAAUAAAUUUGGGCCCCAAAUUUAUAAGAUGAUUUUUCUAAAAAUUAAUAAAAUGCUUACACUUUU
This is a long non-coding RNA of Strongylocentrotus purpuratus (purple sea urchin), 1233 nucleotides long. RefSeq lists it as uncharacterized. NCBI's taxonomy places the organism in Eukaryota, Metazoa, Echinodermata, Echinoidea, Camarodonta, Strongylocentrotidae. The record is from RefSeq and is a predicted model, not a curated record. The transcript is spliced from 5 exons.